This 96-nucleotide ribosomal RNA is filed under the name Periophthalmus magnuspinnatus. The record is from RNAcentral. Lineage: Eukaryota; Metazoa; Chordata; Actinopteri; Gobiiformes; Gobiidae.
UUUUCACAAUAUGGCAUUAUGGCCUGAUCUCAUCAGAUCUCAGAAGCUAAGCAGGGCUGGGCUUGGUUAGUACAAGAGAAUUAGAAAUGUUAAUGA